GAUGAACGCUGGCGGCGUGCCUAAUACAUGCAAGUCGAGCGAACAGACGAGGAGCUUGCUCCUCUGACGUUAGCGGCGGACGGGUGAGUAACACGUGGAUAACCUACCUAUAAGACUGGGAUAACUUCGGGAAACCGGAGCUAAUACCGGAUAAUAUAUUGAACCGCAUGGUUCAAUAGUGAAAGACGGUUUUGCUGUCACUUAUAGAUGGAUCCGCGCCGCAUUAGCUAGUUGGUAAGGUAACGGCUUACCAAGGCAACGAUGCGUAGCCGACCUGAGAGGGGAAUGGGCACACUGGAACUGAGACACGGUCCAGACUCCUACGGGAGGCAGCAGUAGGGAAUCUUCCGCAAUGGGCGAAAGCCUGACGGAGCAACGCCGCGUGAGUGAUGAAGGUCUUCGGAUCGUAAAACUCUGUUAUUAGGGAAGAACAAAUGUGUAAGUAACUAUGCACGUCUUGACGGUACCUAAUCAGAAAGCCACGGCUAACUACGUG
RNAcentral lists this ribosomal RNA (496 nucleotides) under uncultured bacterium. Its description in RNAcentral is "partial 16S ribosomal RNA". It matches the Rfam family "Bacterial small subunit ribosomal RNA", at positions 28 to 507 of the family's 1533-position model. The record is from RNAcentral.